GAGUUUGAUCUUGGCUCAGAUUGAACGCUGGCGGCAUGCCUUACACAUGCAAGUCGAACGGCAGCAUGAUCUAGCUUGCUAGAUUGAUGGCGAGUGGCGAACGGGUGAGUAAUACAUCGGAACGUGCCCUGUAGUGGGGGAUAACUAGUCGAAAGAUUAGCUAAUACCGCAUACGACCUGAGGGUGAAAGUGGGGGACCGCAAGGCCUCAUGCUAUAGGAGCGGCGAUGUCUGAUUAGCUAGUUGGUGGGUAAAGGCCCACCAAGGCGACGAUCAGUAGCUGGUCUGGGAGGACGAUCAGCCACACUGGGACUGAGACACGGCCCAGACUCCUACGGAGGCAGCAGUGGGAAUUUGGACAAUGGCGAAAGCCUGAUCCAGCAAUGCCGCGUGUGUGAAG
RNAcentral lists this ribosomal RNA (399 nucleotides) under uncultured microorganism. RNAcentral's name for it is "bacterial SSU rRNA". It matches the Rfam family "Bacterial small subunit ribosomal RNA", at positions 9 to 410 of the family's 1533-position model. The record is from RNAcentral.